RNAcentral lists this long non-coding RNA (667 nucleotides) under Brassica rapa (field mustard). RNAcentral describes it as "long non-coding RNA (BRAP_LNC002803)". The record is from RNAcentral. Lineage: Eukaryota; Viridiplantae; Streptophyta; Magnoliopsida; Brassicales; Brassicaceae.
CCUAUUCUAAAUAUCUAACUCAAACAUAAUAUUAGUAGAACCUCCCCCAGAUUUAAACAACACUAUGAAUAGUGUUAUACAGUUUAAGAUUGGUGGGAAAAUAAACCAUAAGGACGAUAUUUAACAAGGCUCGCGGGUAUACCUGCCAUUGAUUUGAGUAUUGAUCAACACAAUUAAGUGGCGAUCAAUACUUGUGAUGCUCUGUCGAUCGACACUGAUCAAGUGUCGGCUGAUGCUGAUGCAGAACUCGUCGAUUCUUGUGCGAACUCAUCUUCUUGAGAUCUUUUCCUAAAACCUUACAUAGAUAAAAUACUAAAAGUCAGUAAUAUAUAACUAAUAAAACCAAUUUGCUAACUAUUUUUUUUUUCUGAUGAACAGUGAUCCUGCUACAGUAAUCCUGCUACAAUAUCGCUCGAUGCUACAGUGCCUCUGCUACAGUGUCGUCGUUACUGUUCAUUUUUUUUUUAACCUGAAAUCCUUAGAAAACAAGAAAAAUCAGUAAUAAAUGAAAAUUAAACCAUAUUUAAAACAAACCUAACAGUAGGUUGCCUCCCACUCAGCGCUUAUUUUAAGUCAUUAGCUUGACUUCGGGAGAUCUGAUUUACUCUGGAUUAGCAUGUGAACUUGCUCUAAAACAAGUCUCAGUGUCCAUCUUCCUCAUUUUGUU